RNAcentral lists this non-coding RNA (24 nucleotides) under Arabidopsis thaliana (thale cress). Lineage: Eukaryota; Viridiplantae; Streptophyta; Magnoliopsida; Brassicales; Brassicaceae. The record is from RNAcentral.
ACGGACCAAUUAAGGACGGGGAUG